CUGUUGUACGAGCACACACGCACGCAUAGAAGAGUACACGCUCACCCCCUCCCCACUCUUCCAACAAUAUUCCGGGCGCCCCACUAUGGCAGAUGCAGCGGGAGGAGAGCCGCAGGCUCUCAAGAAGCACCGCUGGGAGGACCCGACGGGCUUUGGCGGCGGCGACAGUGGUGGCGCGAUGCCCACGUCGACGCGCUGGAGCUCGGCCACACCGCGGCAGUAUGGCGCCGACACCCCGCGCCGCACACCGGUCCUGUCCAGUGAGACGUCCUCCUGGCGCGGCAUGGCGACGCCAAACGCGACGCCGUACAUGACGGACUUCAUUCCGACACCGACCUUCGGCGCCAGCGGCAGCAGCGGCAUGGGCGGCAGCACGCCUUCCACGUUCGGCACUCCUCGCAUGGGCAGCAGCGGCGUCACAGCUGGCGGCGGCACGCCCCUCUUCGCCAGCGGCAGUACCCCGCGCAUGGGCGGGGUCACCCCUAUGUUCACCGGCGCGACCCCGGCCGCCGGGGCAACCUUCGGCGCCACCCCGAACUACCAGUACGAGGGCGGGACACCGCUGCAGUCGCACUUCGCCUCCUCCGUCGAGACGCAGUCCAUCACGACGGCGGCCAUCGAAGCCAAGGCGAAGGCGUUGGAGAAGGAGUGGAACCGCAAGAACAAGCGGCUCACAAGCGAGUACCUGGACAGCAUCUUGCCCAGAGAGUUCUUCACGGUGGCGGCGGUGCCAGCUGACUACAACCCGCUGCCGCCGGAGGAACCGAACUUCUACGAAAUCGCCGUGCGCACCAUGGACGUGUUUUCGAUGCAGGCCGGCGCAGCGGCGGCAGUGACGGCCGGCCUGGACGCGAACGGGCAGCCCAUCAAGUACGACAUCCCGGAGGACAUGGGUGACGGCAUGCCCACCAUGAAGGUCGAGGACGCCGCCGUGUUCGUCGAGCUGCUCAAGUACCACAAGGCAGAGAAGAUCCCUGAUGAGCAUCUGCCUUCCUACCUCCUUAUGAAGAACCUCUUCAAGAUCAAGAACGGCGACACGAUGCAGCGCCGCGCCGGCACGCGCUACCUCCUCGACAAGGCAACGAUCUUUGGCAGCCACUUUAUCUUCCAGCGCCUCAGCUACAUCUGGAGCUCGGAUAUCCUCAACAUUGAGGAGAAGCACUACUUCAUCGACUUCAUCAAGUCGCUGCUGCAGCAGAUGGGCAAAGGCGCUCGGCAGUUCACCAAGGAGGUGAUUCACCUGGUGGAGCCGCUGCUUACGGCGCACGAGCGCAUUCUGCGGGACGACGGCAAGCAGGUGCUCACCUUGCUGACACGGGUUGUGGGGUUUCAGGCGGUGUUUGCGGUGAUUCGCGAGGACUUUGGCCACGCCGAGAGCAUUGUGCGUCGUCACACGGCUCGUGUCAUGGCAGUGGUCGGGUAUGCGGCUGGCACCGAGGAAGUGACGGCGGCGCUGCGUGACAUGUCCUACGCCCCGUCGGCGCUUGCUCGCCAGACGGUCGUGCGCUCGAUGGCGGAGCUGGCGAAGAUGGUGGGGCACGCGUUGAUAGCGGCGCUGCCGGAGAUGGUGGCAAUGCUGGAGCGUCUGCUGCGCGACGAGAAGCGCGUGCAGCGGGAUGCGGCCCUGGCGGUGGCGGCGAUUGCCGAGGCGACGGCGCCGGACGGCAUUGAGGAGCUGGCACCGCUGGUCGACGUCAUCUGCGAGGAGUGCAUGAAGGGGAUCGGCAGCAUGGCGUCGCCCUUCAUCCAAGCCUUCGGUGCCUUGGUUCCGCUUAUGUCCCCCUACGACGCGCAGGCUCGCACGGCGGCGAUGAUGCCCAAUCUCGUCAACCAGUUCAGCACACCGGAGGACGAGUUCCGCCGCGUUCUCAUAUCUGUCGUGCGCAAGUGCGUGUUGGCGGAGGGCGUGACGCCGCAGUUCAUUCGGCAGACAAUCCUAGAGCCGUUCUUUGAGGGCUUCUGGCGUGUGCGUCGCCUUGCCGCGGAGCGCCAAACAUCAGGAAGUCUUGUAGCGACGACGGUGGAGAUUGCGAAGAAGCUGGGAAGCGUUGAUGUGCUCGUGAAGUUAUCACCAGACAUGAAGGACGAGAGCGAGGAGUACCAGCGCAUGGUGCUGACGGCCAUCAAGAAGGUCGUGGACGCCACCGGCAUGGAUGCGGCCCCCGACACGCUCGUCACCUUCGUCCUCGACGGCGCCAUAGCCGCCGUGCGCCAGGAUGAGCUCGGCACGAGCAAGUUGGUCAUGAAUGUGCUUGCGACUAUCUGCAACGCACUGGCGGCGCGGUUGCGGCCGUACCUGAAGCAGGUGUUCGACCUCAUCAAGCGGCGCCGCGAGAAUCGCGAGGCUUCGAUGCGAGCGCAGACGGCCGACCUCGUCUCGCGCAUUGCUCACACCGUCAUGCUGGCGGACGGCGCCGUGUUCCUGCAGGACCUGGGGCUGAGCCUGUACGAGCGGCUCGAGGACCCGGAUGCGCGGGCGCUGAGCGCGAACUUGCGCGCGGUACGCUCCAUCUUAGGCGAGCUGGGCUCCCGCCGCUUCAAGCCCUCGGUGCGCGAGCUUCUGAAGCGGCUCACCUUCGUCAUCAAGAGCCGCAACAGCCACGUGCAGAACGGCGCCAUUGCCCUGAUCGAGGACAUUGCGACCAACUACGACACGGAUGUCGACGCGAUUCACCUGCACCAGCUGGCGACCCGUGGACUCUUCGAGCUGCUCGACUCCCCGCAGCGGGCGACGCGACACGCGUGCGCGCGCACCUUUGGCGUCAUCGCCAAGAAAAUUCGCCCCUUCGCCAUCAUCCUCGAGCUGGUCGACAACUUUCGCCAAGACAAGCGGCAGAUUCGCAUCUGCACGGCCGUGGCCCUGAGCGCCAUCGCGAAGGAGUGCGGCCCCUUCACCAUCAUUCCCUACCUCCUGAACGAGUACAAGAUCAGCGAGGGGAAGCAGGUGGCGGUCAUUGUGCAGCACUCGGUGCUCAAGGCGAUCCGGUAUAUUUUCGAGGCCAUCGGUUCGAUCGGCAAGGAGUACGUCUAUCCAAUGAUCCCGCUGCUGGAGCGCGCCUUGACGGAGACGAACAUACAGAUGCGACGCAUGGCCGUGGAGGCCUGCCGCGCCAUUCUGCUCUCCGUGGCCGGCAACGACGGCUUUGAGGACAUCGCGCUGCACCUGCUGAAUUUUGUCCACCCGAACAUUGUGGAGCUGCUGGCUAAGAAUGAGGUCAAGAUCGGCGAGGAGCGCCUCAAGAUGGUGACGGCCGUCGUGAGCUACUACGAGGCGGCGCGGGUGGUGAUCGAGCCGGGGAAGCUGCUGCAGUACCUCUUGCAGGGCCUGUUCCACCCAGCGCGCAAGGUGCGCGACAUCUACCGGCGAACUUACAACCUGAUCUACGUCGGCAGCCCAGAGCGCCUCGUCCCGUACUACCCACGCAUUGAGAACGACGCCUCACAUACGUACGUGCGCCAUGAGCUGGAAGUGCUUCUCUAACAAACUGCAGCCCCCCCACCCCCUCCACACACACACACACACACACACACGCACGCACGCACGCAAACCCAGCGCAAGCGAGCAAGAGAGGCGGGACGUGCAUACUUAAGCUCUUCGGCACAGUUGUUGACGAGUGCGUGCGUGCGAGGGGGAGGAGGCUACGCAUGAGGCUGCAGUUCAGAGCCUCGAGGGCGGCUGUGUCGUGCGGGAGAGGGUAUGAGUGUGUGGCCAUCUUUUCUCUGCGGGUAACAGAAUGCUGUCUGGCGUGCGCACGCGCGAGCACGUAUGGCAUACGCGCUGGCACCGCUAACUCGAAUGGCAGAAAUGCAGCAGAAUAAAAGCAGGCGAGGGUAGGCGUCGACGCACGCGUGUGCACAUGCAUACGUGCCACGUGGCAGCGUGUCGAAGUGCCUUGUCGUGGGGGAGGGGCUGUCGAGGCCCGCUACUUGAAACACGUGCACAGGUGUACGACCGGACUUCACGGACAGGCGCACCGAACGGUGCAAGGCUGCGCGGAGGCGGACGGCCGGUGUGGAAAUGAGAGGCAUUCCACUAGCGCUGCGCUUUGAAUGUGCGGGGGGGGGUCGGGCAGGCAGCGAGACGCGGGUGCUGCGCCGAUGAGUGAUGCUCCUCGCCGCCCGUAUGUAUUCGCGCGUGUGGGUGUGCGUUCCUCGUGCGACGAAGCCUUUCUGUCGUUGUGUGUGUUGACGAGUACUCGCCGCCAUCAAGCCGCACUUCUCCACAGUGUCGUUCCUUGCCCUCCUCCCUCUCCGUCUCUAACCCAACCCGGCGCAACCAAUCACACAUAUCCAAUGCACGGGGGGCUGCGAGAG
Molecule: unclassified non-coding RNA, 4314 nt
Filed under: Leishmania donovani
Lineage: Eukaryota; Euglenozoa; Kinetoplastea; Trypanosomatida; Trypanosomatidae
Description: gene:LdHU3.28.3760(CDS-product:splicing_factor_3B _subunit_1_putative)
Source: RNAcentral